AGAGAGAGAGAGAGAGAGAAAGAGAGGGAAAAGUUGCCUAAGCGGUAGCAGCAAGUCACCACCAUCAGGACUGUUAUUGAAGAGAUCUUUCCAUUGACGCUCGUCGGUUCUUGGCGAUAAGGCUGCACAUACUCUCUCGGUUAGGCUCAUAAGUUAUUACAGUAGUCAACACAAUGGCUGACACUGCUGCGUCCAACGGUGCAAGCUGCGUGGAGAAGCUGAAAAGUUACGCGAGGACCCGUAAAGGUUUUAUCCUCGCUGCAGAAAUACUCCUCAGUUUUAUUAUCAUCAUCUGCUAUGCUGCGUCUCAUUAUGGAGGUUACUCUGCUCUGGCCAUCUGCGAGAUGAUCUUCGCCAUGGUCUUCUUCGGUAUCUUCAUGAUGGAUAUGGACAAACAGUUCACAAUGGUCAACUGGAUGUGGAGUGAUCUUUUCCGUGCUGGUAUUGGUGCCGUCCUUUACAUCAUCACUUCUCUGAUCUGUGUGAUUGGAGGUUCUGGGGACGGUGCACGUAUCGCAGGCGGGGUAUUUGGUUUGAUCGCUGGUCUGCUGUUUGCUUAUGACACCUACACCAUCUUCCUGCAAGUCAAGGCAACCAGGCAACACACAGCAGCCUCCACCGAUGACAGAGUUUAAACACUCCAGCAUGCUUGUGCCUCUGUCAAGUAAGCAGCAGGAGAAGAAGAGGAAGUUUGUGCAGGAAUGAACGGAAGAGUGAAUCAGAGGGGAUGAUGGACAGUAAAACGAACGGGUCUCAGUUUAAACAAAGCUAAUGUAUAGUGUGAAGAGAGACGAGAGAUUUCUUUUAAGGCCACGCCUGAAAUGAGGAUGACAUAGCCUGAGUGAGCGGUACUGUACAUCUGUGCCUGUAUCUGUGUCUACCACAUGAAGAAUCCCCCUCACAAACCUCAAUGUUCCACUGAAGCUCAAUGUUUGAUCUGAUUGAAAAGGGAAAACUGUAAAUAAUAAGCAAUGUAAAACUUUGGUUGUUAUCAUCAUCACACAGUUUGUCUAAUACACAUUUCUACUUUUAAUGAACUGCUGUAGUAAGGAGUAACUGUGUCAUUUGGGACUGUUAAAGUAACUGACUCAUGAAUGGUUGCUUUAUGAAUUGUUUAAUAUCAUAAUCAUAAUGAGUUUGUUUUCUGUAUUUUCAGUGAGGUUUAUCAGCUGGUUAUCCAUUUCCCACUCUUUUUUAAACCAUUGGUUUUUAAAGUGCCUUUAAAGGACAAGUUCAUAAUUUCCAAGUCUUCCCUAAAAGAGAUGUCAGAAGCCCAAAUAACAUGUACAUGGUUUUUUUGCUGUAAUCAUUCCUCCUGUUCAUACUGACCAUUAGAAGAUCUCUUCAUAAUGCAUUUACAAUGUUAAUGGGAGCUAGAAUAUACAAUCCUUCUUCUCUUCAAAAAUGUAUUUAAAGUUUAUUUGAAGCUGAUAAGAAGCUUCAGCUGUCCAAAUUAUCUUUCAACAUUACAGUCUUUUUAGUGCCAAAUUCCUUCCUUUUGUUACUAUUUGAUCACUACAGCUAAACAGAAAAACACUAUCCUUAAAGUAGACUCACAGAUUGGUCUUAACACUUUACUCAUAGAAACUGAGAAUAAUGGCUCAAGUUUCUUUGUUAAAACUGGGUAGAAACUAUUUUUAAAAAAAACCUGCAUUGCAGAGCUAAUCCAAGGUCUUUGGAGCUGUAGCAUGCAGUUCACAACAGAGGAGAAUGAAAGGCGAGUAUAAUUUCUGAUAAGGCGUGUCCUUGACAAAAUGUAAGGGGAGUAGGUUUGUUAGCGCCUGUUCUCACCACUGUUUAACCUACUACUGUACAUUUAGACAUUCCCAGACUUCGGUAGGCGGAGAUUUCUGAUUGUCUGGUAUUGCAAGACUAUCCUUUAAGACACAAAGUGGAACACUUUUACUAAGAAGACUGUAAAUGUGGAAGAUAUCACCUUUUUACUUGGAGGGGAACUUCUAAUGGCUAAUAUGAAGCGGAAGAAUGAUUACAGCGACCAAGCAAAGCCAACAUUCAAAUGGGCACCUGACUGUUUUAAGACAGACUUUAAAAAAUAGUGAACCUCUUCUUUAAAUCUCAUUCAAAUGAACAAGUUCCUUCACCUUAUUUGCCUUUUUUUACCUCAACAUUUGACGUGAUCUACCGGCACUGAUCAACAAACGUUUUGGCUUAUUUUUGUACUAAUCAGAAUUUGGUCUGCAUCAUUAGCAGCCGUUGACAUCCAGUAACCAUCAACCACAUGUUCAUUGUUGCAUUUCUAAAAUGAUUUGCAUCAUCCUCCAGUUUUACAUGUCUAAUGAUAUGUAUUGAUGUGUAUCUGAUUCUUGCUCAGGUCUUUUGUUUGUUUUUUUCUUACACUUGUAACACAUUUGUAAGUCACACAACAUGUCAUACAGUCCAGUUUUACAGUCCAGUUGU
Scomber japonicus (chub mackerel) is the source of this 2418-nucleotide RNA transcript. It is a transcript of the gene named proteolipid protein 2b, with no coding region annotated. The record is from RefSeq and is a predicted model, not a curated record. Lineage: Eukaryota; Metazoa; Chordata; Actinopteri; Scombriformes; Scombridae. The transcript is spliced from 6 exons.